AUGAAGCUCCAUGCCGCGCUCGCGGGCCCUGCCGUGCAGAGCCCGUAUCACUUUUAUCAAGGUGUAGGCAGGCCCGCCUCGCCCACCUUGCUAACAGUUAGGAUACUUUGUGAUGGGGUGAUGGAGCUCCUGAAGAAGUUGGCACAACUAAGAGGUCUCGGCAACGACCCGAUACUUCGCCUCGUCAAGGAGUAUGCGCAGGAUAGUUGUUCAGUGAGGGUGGACGGACGUCCAGGACAUAGCGACAGCGUCGAGGGUUGGCGCCGCCGCCGCCGCUGCCGCCUCCCCAUCAGCCCAUCCCAGCUCCUCCAGCGUCGGCUACCGGACAAGGCUUCCUCCUCAGAUCCGUUUCUCCCCCAAACCUUCUGGUCUUCCUUUCCGCUAGGCCGCCAUGAUGGUUGCAGAGGAGGGGAGGAAGGGGAUGGCAUCGAGGUUCUGACGGUGGCCCUACUCGAGGUGGCAAGAGACUGGGGCGACUCGGGCGAAACCUUGCGCGCCGCCGCCCCCCUCCACUUAGCCCCCGCCCCCCUCGCCGCCGUCGGGCGUCACCGCCGGGCAAAGCCCGUGCGGCAGCCGGCGGCGGCGGGCCUCUCCUUGCUCUGCCGUGUGCGCUGGACGGCCCUGGACGGCUCGGCGUGCUUCGCGGGGCCGCGCGCCGGGGCGGAUCUGGCCUCCUGGCCUCUUCUGCUGCGCGGUGGCGCUGGGCGCUGGGGCGGCGGCCCCAGACUGCGACAGCGUCGUCCUCCCCUCCUCCUCGCAGUGGAGUCGUGGCGGCGUGCCGGUUGGCGGUGGAUGCGGGCUUCGUGCCCGGAUCCGGCGGGGCGCAGGCCGUCGGCGGGAUGCGGCGGCGCUGGCCGUCCUGGGCCCCGCGGGCGGCAGGGCGGACGCGCGUGGUGGUGGGCCGGUGGCUCGGGGCGGCCGUGGGUGGAUCUGGAGCUGCAGCUUCCGGCCUCCCUAGCUUGGCGGAGCUGUUUGGCAGAGCCGGCCCUCUGGGAAGGUGUUGUGGUGUGCCCCGGCCGGCGUGGUGCCGGUUUGGGCUGCUGGGCACCCCGGGUUGUGGCCUCUGCAUGGUGCGGGUGGUCCUGCCUCGGGCUGUGUUCGCGGCGCUACUUCCUCCCAGACCCGGCUUGUGGAGCGUGGUGGGCUGCAAUGGUUUCUGCAGCCGGUGGUGGUUGGCGGUGGCGUGCUGCUUUGCGUGCUUGGUCACGUAGCUUGGGGGAGGACGGUCGGCAUGUUGCCGGAGACGGUUUGCUGGGCAGGCUGUGGACGUCGUUCCCUCCUUGGAGGCGUCGUCGUGGAGCCCCUUCACCACCAUUGUCGCCUCGGUCUCGGGCUCUCCGGGUGAAAACCCAAGUUUCGACCUUGGUCGGAGCGGGCGUCGGCGGCGUACUUGUCGCUUCCCUCUUGGGGGCGAUGCCUUGGAGGUCUGGUCCUUCGUCAGGUCGCGGUGGCUCGGGUGGCUUUGCGGGUUCAUCGUCGGCCAGGCGUGUGCGCGGCCUCGGGGCCGGUGAGGAAGUCGGAGCGGCGGCUCCGGAGAACAAGGUUGUGGAGUGUCGGAUCUGGUCGCGUGGGCGGCAGCGUCGUCGGCUCAGGUGGAGCGCGGCCUCGGGGCCGGCGGGGAAGUCGGAGCGGCGGCUCCGGAGAGCACCUCUGUGCUGUGGAGUGUCGGUUCUGGUCGCGUGGACGGCAGAGUCGUCGACUCGUGUGGAGUGCGGCCUCGGGGCCGACGUGUGUGAGUUUAAGUGGUUUGUAAGCCGGAGUGGCGGCUCCAGGUCGUGUGGUGGGGUGGCAACUCUGGUCGUGUGGGCGACAGGGAAGUCGGCAGAGCUCCUGCUGUUUCCUCGGAAAAAAAAGGCAAGAGACUGCCGACUCCAGGUUUGGAAGGUGCUAUCCAAGGAUGCGAAAACUCGGAUUGUUCCUCCGGCCACUACACCGCAGCCCUGGCGUCUAAGCCUGCAGUGGCACCACCAGUCCCUCCUCUCUGUCUCUCCCGCCGUCCUAACAAACUGCCUCUUGUGUUUGUUGAUUUGCGGGCUUAUUGGUUUUGGUUCGUUUUUUCAUCCUCGAAAUAUUGUCGCUUACCUUAAUUGUCCUACAUUUGUGAGGUUGCUGAGGAGGUUGAGUUCUUACAGGUGGCGUAAAACUUCAGUCGCCUUCGAUGGAGUGAAGGUUUUUUUUUUGGCAUGUGCACAGAGAGCCUGCUUGGUUGCUUAUGACCAGGCUGCUUUGAUAAGAUUGGCAUGGCAGAUGGAUCAUGGUAGUUGUUUGUGCUGGACACCCUUUGAUGCUUUUAUCUUAACAUACUAUCUCCAGGUUUCUGAACCACAAAAGCAACCUGUACUAGCUGAAUCAUGUGUUGAUCCAAUUAUAACUGUAUUACAACUUCUUUUGGCUGCUAUCAAAUGCUUGGUUGAUCCCCAAAAAAGCUAUCCUGAAUUGUUUGAGUACAGUACUCUCAGGCGGCAACACAGGGCGGCGCCCCAACUGCUACUAUUUGGAGAGAUGGACUAUGCGCUUAAGUUUCCCUUCUAUACCACGCUCGAACGUCUAGACCGCAAGUGGAACAUCAUACAUUCUGAUGCUAGAGGUUCUCACAUCCUGAAGACACAAUACUUGCCAUAUGGUAUCAACCAAGAACUUUUUGCUUUGGCUGAUGAAGAUUUCACAUUCUCUCAAUCUAUCCACUAGGAUGAACUUCUGCAUCUUGAUAG
RNAcentral lists this ribosomal RNA (2711 nucleotides) under Triticum aestivum (bread wheat). Its description in RNAcentral is "partial small subunit ribosomal RNA". Lineage: Eukaryota; Viridiplantae; Streptophyta; Magnoliopsida; Poales; Poaceae. The record is from RNAcentral.